RNAcentral lists this long non-coding RNA (502 nucleotides) under Phoenix dactylifera (date palm). RNAcentral describes it as "long non-coding RNA (PDAC_LNC017395)". The record is from RNAcentral. Lineage: Eukaryota; Viridiplantae; Streptophyta; Magnoliopsida; Arecales; Arecaceae.
AUAAACACCUUAACUAGUCAAUUCAUAUAAUAACAUAAAAUAUGAAUACAAAUUACGAUGAGUCAGGAUAAUAACAUAAUCAAUUUAUUUUCAAAUACAAAUUCAUUGAAAUCCGUAUCUUUCAAAUAUCCAUAUACAUAAUCGUAAAUCUGAUUCGAAACAAAUCACAUUCAUCUCAAUAGCCUUUAGCUACGACCACACUUAUACCCUGUGGCUAGGCCAGAAACAGAACCGCACUUAUACCCUGCGGAGUAGGCCAGAGUACCGCACUUAUACCCUGCGGAGUGGGCCAGAAUACCACAUUUAUACCCUGUGGUGGGGCCAGAAUUGCCAAUACAUAACCUCCAAUUGGCGGGGUCCAGAACAUAGUUAGGCUAAGAGUUCUAAAUCUGAUGCACAUCAAAAUUCUUUUAUAACAUAAUAGAUAUAUCACAAUCCGAUCUAAAUAUGCAUAUACGAUGCUAGAACAGUAAGUAUAUUCGAAAAAUACUAAUUCCAAUUC